RNAcentral lists this ribosomal RNA (497 nucleotides) under uncultured bacterium. RNAcentral describes it as "partial 16S ribosomal RNA". It matches the Rfam family "Bacterial small subunit ribosomal RNA", at positions 28 to 507 of the family's 1533-position model. The record is from RNAcentral.
GAUGAACGCUGGCGGCGUGCCUAAUACAUGCAAGUCGAGCGAACAGAUAAGGGGCUUGCUCCUUUGACGUUAGCGGCGGACGGGUGAGUUACACGUGGAUAACCUACCUAUAAGACUGGGAUAACUUCGGGAAACCGGAGCUAAUACCGGAUAACAUAUUGAACCGCAUGGUUCAAUAGUGAAAGGCGGCUUUGCUGUCACUUAUAGAUGGAUCCGCGCCGUAUUAGCUAGUUGGUAAGGUAACGGCUUACCAAGGCAACGAUACGUAGCCGACCUGAGAGGGUGAUCGGCCACACUGGAACUGAGACACGGUCCAGACUCCUACGGGAGGCAGCAGUAGGGAAUCUUCCGCAAUGGGCGAAAGCCUGACGGAGCAACGCCGCGUGAGUGAUGAAGGUCUUCGGAUCGUAAAACUCUGUUAUCAGGGAAGAACAAAUGUGUAAGUAACUGUGCACAUCUUGACGGUACCUGAUCAGAAAGCCACGGCUAACUACGUG